UCUAGACAUCAUUCUAAGUCUGGUAGACUCCGUGGACAAGAACAACCCAGAAAGUAUAUGCCUCCUUUGCUUGAAGUGGAUGAGCCAGAAUCCUCAGAAAUGACAACCAUGAAGAAUAACAGAAAAAGUGACCCUGAAAAGUCAACUGUGCCCAACACUCCUCCUCCUGAAUUUGAGGCAGCUGGCAAUGGCUUCAUCUCUCCACCGUUUCCCCAGGAUAGAGGCCCCAGAGGCCCUCUCUUUGCAGGGGAUGCAAGAAGCCCUGUUAUGAGUAGGCCACCCCCAUUUCCUCCACCUCCUCCAGGAAACAUGCAUGCAGGGCCUCCAGGUUAUUUUACAUCAAGGGACUUCGAUGGCCCACCCUUCCCACCUGCAGGCCCUCCAGAUUAUUUUCUUCAGAGGGACUUCGCUGGCCCACCCUUCCCACCUGCUCGUCCUCCAGAUUAUUUUUCUCAGAGGGACUUCGCUGGGCCACCUUUCCUGCCAUACCCAGGGAGAAAUGUGUUCGAAUCAAGGGGCUUUCCACCUUUCUUUCCCCCAAGAGCUGGGUUUGUUCCCCCACCCCCACAUGCUGAAAGUAGAAAUGAGCUGCCUCCACAAUUGAUUCUGCCUUCCAAACAACCUGUACCUGCAUGUCUGGAAACACAGGAGACCUGACAGUUUCCUCGGGGGGUCAUUUCUUCUCAUUUUCUCUUUAAGUAAUUGCUAUUACUUAUGUGAUUAUAUUGUUGCUCAAAUCAAAGCUUAAUGGAAU
Molecule: long non-coding RNA, 754 nt
Filed under: Cricetulus griseus (Chinese hamster)
Lineage: Eukaryota; Metazoa; Chordata; Mammalia; Rodentia; Cricetidae
Description: lncRNA (ENSCGRG00000025214.1)
Source: RNAcentral